GGAAUUUUGGGCAAUGGGGGAAACCCUGACCCAGCAACGCCGCGUGAAGGAUGAAGUAUUUCGGUAUGUAAACUUCGAAAGAGUAGGAAGAAUUAAUGACGGUACUAUUUAUAAGGUCCGGCUAACUACGUGCCAGCAGCCGCGGUAAUACGGGGGGAGCAAGCGUUGUUCGGAUUUACUGGGCGUAAAGGGCGCGUAGGCGGCCUCCGCAAGUCGACUGUGAAAUCUCCGGGCUUAACCCGGAACGGUCAGCCGAUACUGCGGGGCUAGAGUGCAGAAGGGGCAACUGGAAUUCUCGGUGUAGCGGUGAAAUGCGUAGAUAUCGAGAGGAACACCUGCGGCGAAGGCGGGUUGCUGGGCUGACACUGACGCUGAGGCGCGAAAGCUAGGGGAGCGAA
Molecule: ribosomal RNA, 398 nt
Filed under: uncultured bacterium
Lineage: Bacteria
Description: bacterial SSU rRNA
Rfam family: Bacterial small subunit ribosomal RNA
Source: RNAcentral